CAAUAGCGUAUACUAAUGUUGUUGCAGUUAAAAAGCUCGUAGUUGAACUUCUGGUAGGAGUGUCCCGGCCUUUUUGUUUUUACAAAUUGUAUGCUGUGUGACAUCUCUGGCCAUCCUUCUUCUUUGUUUAAAGAAGAUCUUUCACUGUAAAAAAAUUAGGGUGUUCAAAGCAAAAGUUUCUUUGGAAUAUAUUAGUAUGGGAUGAGAAGAUAGGCUCUAGAUGCUAUUUUGUUGGUUUGCACAUUUAGAGAAUGAUUAACAGGGACAGUUGGGGGUAUUCGUAUUUACAUGUCAGAGGUGAAAUUCUUGGAUUUUGGAAAGACGAACUACUGCGAAAGCAUUUACCAAGGAUGUUUUCAUUAA
Molecule: ribosomal RNA, 363 nt
Filed under: uncultured eukaryote
Lineage: Eukaryota
Description: partial 18S ribosomal RNA
Rfam family: Eukaryotic small subunit ribosomal RNA
Source: RNAcentral